This 912-nucleotide ribosomal RNA is filed under the name uncultured bacterium. RNAcentral's name for it is "bacterial SSU rRNA". It matches the Rfam family "Bacterial small subunit ribosomal RNA", at positions 8 to 916 of the family's 1533-position model. The record is from RNAcentral.
AGAGUUUGAUCAUGGCUCAGAUUGAACGCUGGCGGCAGGCCUAACACAUGCAAGUCGAGCGGAUGAAGAGAGCUUGCUCUCUGAUUCAGCGGCGGACGGGUGAGUAAUGCCUAGGAAUCUGCCUGGUAGUGGGGGACAACGUUUCGAAAGGAACGCUAAUACCGCAUACGUCCUACGGGAGAAAGCAGGGGACCUUCGGGCCCUGCGCUAUCAGAUGAGCCUAGUCGGAUUAGCUAGUUGGUGAGGUAAUGGCUCACCAAGGCGACGAUCCGUAACUGGUCUGAGAGGAUGAUCAGUCACACUGGAACUGAGACACGGUCCAGACUCCUACGGGAGGCAGCAGUGGGGAAUAUUGGACAAUGGGCGAAAGCCUGAUCCAGCCAUGCCGCGUGUGUGAAGAAGGUCUUCGGAUUGUAAAGCACUUUAAGUUGGGAGGAAGGGCAUUAACCUAAUACGUUAGUGUUUUGACGUUACCGACAGAAUAAGCACCGGCUAACUCUGUGCCAGCAGCCGCGGUAAUACAGAGGGUGCAAGCGUUAAUCGGAAUUACUGGGCGUAAAGCGCGCGUAGGUGGUUCGUUAAGUUGGAUGUGAAAGCCCCGGGCUCAACCUGGGAACUGCAUUCAAAACUGACGAGCUGGAGUAUGGUAGAGGGUGGUGGAAUUUCCUGUGUAGCGGUGAAAUGCGUAGAUAUAGGAAGGAACACCAGUGGCGAAGGCGACCACCUGGACUGAUACUGACACUGAGGUGCGAAAGCGUGGGGAGCAAACAGGAUUAGAUACCCUGGUAGUCCACGCCGUAAACGAUGUCAACUAGCCGUUGGGAGCCUUGAGCUCUUAGUGGCGCAGCUAACGCAUUAAGUUGACCGCCUGGGGAGUACGGCCGCAAGGUUAAAACUCAAAGGAAUUGACGG